CUAGCGACUUCAGAGUUUGAUCCUGGCUCAGGACGAACGCUGGCGGCACGCCUAACACAUGCAAGUCGAACGGACGAGGAGAAAGCUUGCUUUUUCCAAGUUAGUGGCGGACGGGUGAGUAACACGUGAGCAACCUGCCUUUAAGAGGGGGAUAGCUUCUGGAAACGGAUGGUAAUACCCCAUAAUAUAUUGUUACCGCAUGGUGAUGAUAUCAAAUGAUUUAUCGCUUAAAGAUGGGCUCGCGUCUGAUUAGAUAGUUGGUGAGGUAACGGCUCACCAAGUCGACGAUCAGUAGCCGGACUGAGAGGUUGAACGGCCACAUUGGGACUGAGACACGGCCCAG
This 343-nucleotide ribosomal RNA is filed under the name uncultured bacterium. RNAcentral's name for it is "bacterial SSU rRNA". It matches the Rfam family "Bacterial small subunit ribosomal RNA", at positions 1 to 334 of the family's 1533-position model. The record is from RNAcentral.